This 67-nucleotide small RNA is filed under the name Marmota monax (woodchuck). Lineage: Eukaryota; Metazoa; Chordata; Mammalia; Rodentia; Sciuridae. The record is from RNAcentral.
UGAUGCAGAGAUUAGAUGGCUCCUGCCCAAGGAUGACACACAAAUUUGUGACAUAGUCCACAUUUUU